RNAcentral lists this transfer RNA (72 nucleotides) under Candidatus Omnitrophota bacterium. Its description in RNAcentral is "tRNA-Arg". It matches the Rfam family "tRNA". Rfam says of the family: Transfer RNA (tRNA) molecules are approximately 80 nucleotides in length. Their secondary structure includes four short double-helical elements and three loops (D, anti-codon, and T loops). Lineage: Bacteria; Pseudomonadati; Candidatus Omnitrophota. The record is from RNAcentral.
GCGCCUGUGGCCUAAUGGACAAGGCACUGGCCUCCGAAGCCAGGCAUGCCCGUUCAACUCGGGCCAGGCGCG